UACGAAGGGUGCUAGCGUUGUUCGGAAUCACUGGGCGUAAAGCGCGCGUAGGCGGCUAAACAAGUCAGAGGGGAAAUGCCGGGGCUUAACCCCGGAACUGCCUUUGAAACUGUUUAGCUAGAGACUCGGAGGGGAUAGCGGAAUUUCUAAUGUAGCGGUGAAAUGCGUAGAUAUUAGAAGGAACACCGGUGGCGAAGGCGGCUAUCUGGACGAGUACUGACGCUGAGGCGCGAAAGCGUGGGGAUCAAACAGG
RNAcentral lists this ribosomal RNA (253 nucleotides) under uncultured bacterium. Its description in RNAcentral is "partial 16S ribosomal RNA". It matches the Rfam family "Bacterial small subunit ribosomal RNA", at positions 524 to 776 of the family's 1533-position model. The record is from RNAcentral.